Molecule: transfer RNA, 76 nt
Filed under: Merluccius polli (Benguela hake)
Lineage: Eukaryota; Metazoa; Chordata; Actinopteri; Gadiformes; Merlucciidae
Description: tRNA-Arg
Rfam family: tRNA
About the family: Transfer RNA (tRNA) molecules are approximately 80 nucleotides in length. Their secondary structure includes four short double-helical elements and three loops (D, anti-codon, and T loops).
Source: RNAcentral
GCCCCAGUGGCCUAAUGGAUAAGGCACUGGCCUCCUAAGCCAGGGAGGUUGUGGGUUCGAGUCCCGUCUGGGGUGA